Molecule: ribosomal RNA, 165 nt
Filed under: Aetheolaena longepenicillata
Lineage: Eukaryota; Viridiplantae; Streptophyta; Magnoliopsida; Asterales; Asteraceae
Description: 5.8S ribosomal RNA
Rfam family: 5.8S ribosomal RNA
About the family: 5.8S ribosomal RNA (5.8S rRNA) is a component of the large subunit of the eukaryotic ribosome. It is transcribed by RNA polymerase I as part of the 45S precursor that also contains 18S and 28S rRNA.
Source: RNAcentral
AUAAACGACUCUCGGCAACGGAUAUCUCGGCUCACGCAUCGAUGAAGAACGUAGCAAAAUGCGAUACUUGGUGUGAAUUGCAGAAUCCCGUGAACCAUCGAGUUUUUGAACGCAAGUUGCGCCCGAAGCCUUUUGGCUGAGAGCACGUCUGCCUGGGCGUCACAC